This 468-nucleotide ribosomal RNA is filed under the name uncultured bacterium. RNAcentral describes it as "partial 16S ribosomal RNA". It matches the Rfam family "Bacterial small subunit ribosomal RNA", at positions 28 to 507 of the family's 1533-position model. The record is from RNAcentral.
GACGAACGCUGGCGGCGUGCUUAACACAUGCAAGUCGAACGGAAAGGCCCUGCUUUUGUGGGGUGCUCGCGUGGCGAAGGGGUGAGUAACAUGUGAGUAACCUGCCCUUGACUUUGGGAUAACUUCAGGAAAGUGGGGCUAAUACCUGAUAGGAGCUCCUGCUGCAUGGUGGGGGUUGGAAAGUUUAGGCGGUUGGGGAUGGACUCGCGGCUUAUCAGCUGGUUGGGGGGGUAGUGGCUUACGAAGGCUUUGGCUGGUGGCCGGACUGAGAGGGGAAGCAGCGACAAUAGGACUGGGGUACGGCACAGACUCCAACGGUAGGCAGCAGUGGGGAGUAUUGCACAGUGGGCGGAAGCCUGAUGCAGCAACGCCGCGUGCGGGAAGACGGCCAUCGGGUUGUAAAGCGCAGUCACCUGUUACGAAGCGUGAGUGACGGUAAUGGGUAAAUAAGCACCGGCUAACUACGUG